CGGUAAUACGUAGGUGGCAAGCGUUGUCCCGGAUUUAUUGGGCGUAAAGCGAGCGCAGGCGGUUUUUUAAGUCUGAUGUGAAAGCCUUUCGGCUCAACCGAAGAAGUGCAUCGGAAACUGGGAAACUUGAGUGCAGAAGAGGACAGUGGAACUCCAUGUGUAGCGGUGAAAUGCGUAGAUAUAUGGAAGAACACCAGUGGCGAAGGCGGCUGUCUGGUCUGUAACUGACGCUGAGGCUCGAAAGUAUGGGUAGCAAACAGGAUUAGAUACCCUGGUAGUCCAUACCGUAAACGAUGAAUGCUAAGUGUUGGAGGGUUUCCGCCCUUCAGUGCUGCAGCUAACGCAUUAAGCAUUCCGCCUGGGGAGUACGGCCGCAAGGCUGAAACUCAAAGGAAUUGACGGGGGCCCGCACAAGCGGUGGAGCAUGUGGUUUAAUUCGAAGCUACGCGAAGAACCUUACCAGGUCUUGACAUACUAUGCAAAUCUAAGAGAUUAGACGUUCCCUUCGGGGACAUGGAUACAGGUGGUGCAUGGUUGUCGUCAGCUCGUGUCGUGAGAUGUUGGGUUAAGUCCCGCAACGAGCGCAACCCUUAUUAUCAGUUGCCAGCAUUAAGUUGGGCACUCUGGUGAGACUGCCGGUGACAAACCGGAGGAAGGUGGGGAUGACGUCAAAUCAUCAUGCCCCUUAUGACCUGGGCUACACACGUGCUACAAUGGAUGGUACAACGAGUUGCGAACUCGCGAGAGUAAGCUAAUCUCUUAAAGCCAUUCUCAGUUCGGAUUGUAGGCUGCAACUCGCCUACAUGAAGUCGGAAUCGCUAGUAAUCGCGGAUCAGCAUGCCGCGGUGAAUACGUUCCCGGGCCUUGUACACACCGCCCGUCACACCAUGAGAGUUUGUAACACCCAAAGUCGGUGGGGUAACC
This 924-nucleotide ribosomal RNA is filed under the name Lactiplantibacillus pentosus. RNAcentral's name for it is "bacterial SSU rRNA". It matches the Rfam family "Bacterial small subunit ribosomal RNA", at positions 518 to 1440 of the family's 1533-position model. The record is from RNAcentral. Lineage: Bacteria; Bacillati; Bacillota; Bacilli; Lactobacillales; Lactobacillaceae.